AAAGUUUUAAGUUAUAUAAACUAAAGGCCUUCAAAGCCUUCAAAGAAAGUAUUAAUCUUUUAAACUUUA
This 69-nucleotide transfer RNA is filed under the name Cleistostoma dilatatum. Its description in RNAcentral is "tRNA-Trp". The record is from RNAcentral. Lineage: Eukaryota; Metazoa; Arthropoda; Malacostraca; Decapoda; Camptandriidae.